UCCACGCCGUAAACGAUGUCAACUAGCCGACUGGCGCCUUGAGCGCUGGGUGGCGCAGCUAACGCAUUAAGUUGACCGCCUGGGGAGUACGGCCGCAAGGUUAAAACUCAAAUGAAUUGACGGGGGCCCGCACAAGCGGUGGAGCAUGUGGUUUAAUUCGAUGCAACGCGAAGAACCUUACCUACUCUUGACAUCCACAGAAUUUUUCAGAGAUGAAUUAGUGCCUUCGGGAA
Molecule: ribosomal RNA, 233 nt
Filed under: uncultured bacterium
Lineage: Bacteria
Description: partial 16S ribosomal RNA
Rfam family: Bacterial small subunit ribosomal RNA
Source: RNAcentral